This 403-nucleotide unclassified non-coding RNA is filed under the name Syringa josikaea. Its description in RNAcentral is "partial external transcribed spacer". Lineage: Eukaryota; Viridiplantae; Streptophyta; Magnoliopsida; Lamiales; Oleaceae. The record is from RNAcentral.
GUAUGUUGGAUCCCUGCUAGGGCAGCGACAACAUUCUCUUCAUGCCUGUUCAUUCGAUGGUCGGAUUUCGCAUGCGGUCAUCUAGAUUUCGGUUCCCUGUGUUGCAUACCUGUUGCAAAGGUACCUUGUUGGCUAAAACGACCCUAUUUCGCCCUACGCUACGAGUUAUAUUGCAGCUGAAGGUGAACCUAAAAGCAUUCAUCGUGUUCCACCUUGUUCACUUCAAUUGUGGCAGGAUUUGGACCUCGAUGAUGUGCUCGAAUUCUCGGAUGCGGAAUACUAAGUGGGUACGAGGACCUCGAUCCUCUGUUUACCCUGAACAAGCGUUCUACGCUUCGUGCGAAUGACGUUCUUCCUUGUUCUGGACUUCUGUCCAUGCAAGGUUGACGUCGAAUAGGAAUGC